GGGCUUGUGGCUCAGAGGUAGAGCGCUUGCCUGGCUGCAUGAGGCACUGGGUUCAAUUCUCAGCACCA
This is a non-coding RNA of Ictidomys tridecemlineatus (thirteen-lined ground squirrel), 68 nucleotides long. NCBI's taxonomy places the organism in Eukaryota, Metazoa, Chordata, Mammalia, Rodentia, Sciuridae. The record is from Rfam.